This is a long non-coding RNA of Nasonia vitripennis (jewel wasp), 1296 nucleotides long. RefSeq lists it as uncharacterized. NCBI's taxonomy places the organism in Eukaryota, Metazoa, Arthropoda, Insecta, Hymenoptera, Pteromalidae. The transcript is spliced from 3 exons. The record is from RefSeq and is a predicted model, not a curated record.
ACAGAGUCGGAUGGACGCUUUAAGCUAAUCCAUCACGUAUUUCCCAUGUAUUUUCACUAUGAUUGAAAAUAGUAAAAUAAUGGGCUAAACCUCCACUAACAUUUGAACCGGUGAACGCAAUAAGUCCUGAUAACGAAUUUUCUACUACAUCAUCUCUGUAACAGUCUUCUGUGUCUAUUAUUAAAUAGGAAUUAAUGUUAUACGUCAAACUUGCAUAGUUAGAACAAUUUUGGCAAUACACGUUUGUAUUAUGUAAAGAAUUUGUUAUUUCUUUUUCCAAACAAGAGAUACCAUUUGUUAUGAUUGAUAACAAAUUAGGUACUAUUACAGGUACAGUUUUUGAUGAUCUAUAUUGACAAAGAUGACAAUAUAUCUCUUGGGUGUUAUUACAAGAAGAUUCCGUAAGGAUUGAAAACAAAUUAUUUACAUUGUAGUUACAAUUUAAUUUCUUGGGCAAUUCUUUUAAUGUUUUAACUUGCAAUAUAACACGUAUUCUCUCUCUCUCUGUAAAGAUAGUCAAUGGAACAUUUGUUAAUAAGAUAACAUAACAGUAUUUUAAAAACAUUCAAGUUAUUACCUAUAUUUACUGAAUUAUAUAAUAAGUUCUACAUUUCAUUUUCUUUUUGUACCGUAAGAAUAAUAAGUUCAAAUAUGCUAUCAAAAGGACAGGUAUGGAUAACUGAAAUUAAUACAUCAUUGUAAUUUGUGCGAUCCAUCUUAUUUCCAUUUAUCAGAAAUGUGUGUUGAGAUACGUCUAUAGCAUUUAUUUGAAUUAUACAAGAUUCUACUGGUUAAUUUUGAGUUUUAAUAAUAGUUUUACUUGAACUUUUAGUGAUAUUCGGUGUAGUAACUUUUUUUGUUGAAUGUUUCUUAUCUGUACUACUGUAGUUUUCUCAAGUUUUGAAUUAAUUAAAGUCUCUUGUUUAUGCAAUACAGGUAAUAACUUUGAUUGGAAUUUACUAUUUUCAACAAUUUUACUUUCAGUCGUUUCAUGAAAUGGUAGACUUUCGGAAGAUUCUAAAUUGGAGUUUAUAAUUUCUAAAAUUUCACUGUUAUGUAAUUCUUCAUUAUAACUCAUUUCCUGAUCAAUUACUUUAAGUGCCUCAUUUUCACUUUUAUGCAAUUCUUCAUUAUAAUUCAAUUCAUGAUCGAUUACUUCAAGUGCCUCAUUUUCACUUUUAUGCAAUUCUUCUUUAUGAGAUACCGAGAGGUCUGACAUUUGCAUAAAACUUGAUUCGUCAUCUAAGGUUUCAAGUGUUUCAUUUUCAUCAAUACAAAAAUCAUAUUUUUCAUUAC